GGACAGGUAGAACAGGUCAUGAGGGUGCUGUACAGUCUUCAUUCAAGAGUAGUCAUUCUAAUUCAAAUUCUGCAAGAGGUUUUCCAGCUGUAGGUGUGAGGCAGGAACAUUCAUAAUUGAAGAAGAGCUGAUCAUCGCUGUACUACACUUACACUUUAUGACAAUGACUGCCCUAUUCCAAGUUGAAAGGUCCCAAAGCCACUUUGCCAACUGCUGAAAGAUGGUUUUGGAAGCCCAUUGGAACAUGCAUAACCUUGGCGACUUGGGGAAACCAGCUGUGGAGUUAGGACCAUCUUGAACGGAACUUGAGACUUCCUGGCCAGAAAAACUACAGGUGACUAAUCCGCUGAACAUCCAAAUCCGAACGGAAUGUUGCAAUAAUCCUGAUCUUUGACUCCAGAUAUUGAACACACAUAAACUAUCACUUUGGAUGAAGAUACUGCCCUCAACAGAACUUACAACAGUUGUUUUCACUUCAAUGAAAGAAACACAUGAACUACGAACUUUUGUCUAAAGCUUGUAAAAGUACAUUAUUCUCUUGAACUGUGUGCAUAU
Non-coding RNA from Chiloscyllium plagiosum (whitespotted bambooshark), 555 nucleotides. Lineage: Eukaryota; Metazoa; Chordata; Chondrichthyes; Orectolobiformes; Hemiscylliidae. The record is from RefSeq and is a predicted model, not a curated record.